UCAGAUUGAACGCUGGCGGCAGGCCUAACACAUGCAAGUCGAGCGGUAGCACAGAGAGCUUGCUCUCGGGUGACGAGCGGCGGACGGGUGAGUAAUGUCUGGGAAACUGCCUGAUGGAGGGGGAUAACUACUGGAAACGGUAGCUAAUACCGCAUAACGUCGCAAGACCAAAGUGGGGGACCUUCGGGCCUCAUGCCAUCAGAUGUGCCCAGAUGGGAUUAGCUGGUAGGUGGGGUAACGGCUCACCUAGGCGACGAUCCCUAGCUGGUCUGAGAGGAUGACCAGCCACACUGGAACUGAGACACGGUCCAGACUCCUACGGGAGGCAGCAGUGGGGAAUAUUGCACAAUGGGCGCAAGCCUGAUGCAGCCAUGCCGCGUGUGUGAAGAAGGCCUUCGGGUUGUAAAGCACUUUCAGCGGGGAGGAAGGCGGUGAGGUUAAUAACCUCAUCGAUUGACGUUACCCGCAGAAGAAGCACCGGCUAACUCCGUGCCAGCAGCCGCGGUAAUACGGAGGGUGCAAGCGUUAAUCGGAAUUACUGGGCGUAAAGCGCACGCAGGCGGUCUGUCAAGUCGGAUGUGAAAUCCCCGGGCUCAACCUGGGAACUGCAUUCGAAACUGGCAGGCUAGAGUCUUGUAGAGGGGGGUAGAAUUCCAGGUGUAGCGGUGAAAUGCGUAGAGAUCUGGAGGAAUACCGGUGGCGAAGGCGGCCCCCUGGACAAAGACUGACGCUCAGGUGCGAAAGCGUGGGGAGCAAACAGGAUUAGAUACCCUGGUAGUCCACGCUGUAAACGAUGUCGAUUUGGAGGUUGUGCCCUUGAGGCGUGGCUUCCGGAGCUAACGCGUUAAAUCGACCGCCUGGGGAGUACGGCCGCAAGGUUAAAACUCAAAUGAAUUGACGGGGGCCCGCACAAGCGGUGGAGCAUGUGGUUUAAUUCGAUGCAACGCGAAGAACCUUACCUGGUCUUGACAUCCACAGAACUUAGCAGAGAUGCUUUGGUGCCUUCGGGAACUGUGAGACAGGUGCUGCAUGGCUGUCGUCAGCUCGUGUUGUGAAAUGUUGGGUUAAGUCCCGCAACGAGCGCAACCCUUAUCCUUUGUUGCCAGCGGUUCGGCCGGGAACUCAAAGGAGACUGCCAGUGAUAAACUGGAGGAAGGUGGGGAUGACGUCAAGUCAUCAUGGCCCUUACGACCAGGGCUACACACGUGCUACAAUGGCAUAUACAAAGAGAAGCGACCUCGCGAGAGCAAGCGGACCUCAUAAAGUAUGUCGUAGUCCGGAUUGGAGUCUGCAACUCGACUCCAUGAAGUCGGAAUCGCUAGUAAUCGUAGAUCAGAAUGCUACGGUGAAUACGUUCCCGGGCCUUGUACACACCGCCCGUCACACCAUGGGAGUGGGUUGCAAAAGAAGUAGGUAGCUUAACCUUCGGGAGGGCGCUUACCACUUUGUGAUUCAUGACUGGGGUGAAGUCGUAACAAGGUAGCCGUA
Molecule: ribosomal RNA, 1488 nt
Filed under: Klebsiella pneumoniae
Lineage: Bacteria; Pseudomonadati; Pseudomonadota; Gammaproteobacteria; Enterobacterales; Enterobacteriaceae
Description: bacterial SSU rRNA
Rfam family: Bacterial small subunit ribosomal RNA
Source: RNAcentral